This 88-nucleotide transfer RNA is filed under the name Verrucomicrobiota bacterium. RNAcentral's name for it is "tRNA-Ser". It matches the Rfam family "tRNA". Rfam says of the family: Transfer RNA (tRNA) molecules are approximately 80 nucleotides in length. Their secondary structure includes four short double-helical elements and three loops (D, anti-codon, and T loops). The record is from RNAcentral. Lineage: Bacteria; Pseudomonadati; Verrucomicrobiota.
GGAAAGAUGUCCGAGCGGCUGAAGGAGCGCGCCUCGAAAGCGUGUAAACGUUCAUAGCGUUUCGUGGGUUCGAAUCCCACUCUUUCCG